RNAcentral lists this ribosomal RNA (505 nucleotides) under uncultured fungus. RNAcentral's name for it is "eukaryotic LSU rRNA". The stretch from base 163 to 316 matches the Rfam family "5.8S ribosomal RNA". Lineage: Eukaryota; Fungi. The record is from RNAcentral.
AUAGUGUUCGCUGCCCUCGCGGGUAGCAAGCCUCACCCGUGUAUAUUAUAUCUUUGUUGCUUUGGCACGCCGCCUUCGGGCACUGGCUUCGGCUGGCUCGUGUGUGUCAGAGGCCUUAAAACUCUGAAUGUUAGUGUCGUCUGAGUACUAUUUAAUAGUUAAAACUUUCAACAACGGAUCUCUUGGUUCUGGCAUCGAUGAAGAACGCAGCGAAAUGCGAUAAUUAAUGUGAAUUGCAGAAUUUAGUGAAUCAUCGAAUCUUUGAACGCACAUUGCGCCCCUUGGUAUUCCGGGGGGCAUGCCUGUUCGAGCGUCAUUUCAACCCUCAAGCUCUGCUUGGUCUUGGGCCGCGCCGGCAACGGCGGGCCUCAAAAACAGUGGCGGCGCCAUCGUGUCCCUCAGCGUAGUAAUUCUUCUCGCUGUUGGGCCCCGGUGGCCGCUGGCCAGCAACCCCCAAUUUUCUAUGGUUGACCUCGGAUCAGGUAGGGAUACCCGCUGAACUUAA